GAGAAUCUGCGUUAGUUGCCAGCAUUAAGUUGGGCACUCUAACAAGACCGCCGGUGAUAAAUCGGAGGAAGGUGGGGAUGACGUCAAGUCAUCAUGCCCCUUACGCCCAGGGCUACACACGUACUACAAUGCUGUGGACAAAGGGCAGCAAGCGAGCGAUCGCAAGCAAAUCCCAUAAACCACGGCUCAGUUCAGAUCGAAGGCUGCAACUCGCCUUCGUGAAGGUGGAAUCGCUAGUAAUUCCAGAUCAGCAUUGCUGGGGUGAAUUCGUUCCCGGGUCUUGUACACACCGCCCGUCACACCAUGGAAGUUGGUUUUGCCCGAAGUCGUUAUUCCAACCGCUUGGAGGGAAACGCCGAAGGCAGGGCUGAUGACUGGGGUGAAGUCGUAACAAGGUAACCAAU
This 404-nucleotide ribosomal RNA is filed under the name uncultured bacterium. RNAcentral describes it as "bacterial SSU rRNA". It matches the Rfam family "Bacterial small subunit ribosomal RNA", at positions 1098 to 1504 of the family's 1533-position model. The record is from RNAcentral.